UGCCCAAUGCGGGAAUCGAACCCGGGUCGUAGUGGUCGAAAACCAACGGUUUAGACCAUCCUUCCACGACCCACUUCUGAUUGGCC
This 86-nucleotide transfer RNA is filed under the name Cordylochernes scorpioides. Its description in RNAcentral is "tRNA-Glu". Lineage: Eukaryota; Metazoa; Arthropoda; Arachnida; Pseudoscorpiones; Chernetidae. The record is from RNAcentral.